This 253-nucleotide ribosomal RNA is filed under the name uncultured bacterium. RNAcentral's name for it is "partial 16S ribosomal RNA". It matches the Rfam family "Bacterial small subunit ribosomal RNA", at positions 524 to 776 of the family's 1533-position model. The record is from RNAcentral.
UACGUAGGGUGCAAGCGUUAAUCGGAAUUACUGGGCGUAAAGCGCACGUAGGCGGCUUUCUAAGUCGGGGGUGAAAUCCUGGAGCUCAACUCCAGAACUGCCUUCGAUACUGGAGAGCUCGAGUCCGGGAGAGGUGAGUGGAACUGCGAGUGUAGAGGUGAAAUUCGUAGAUAUCUGGAGGAACACCAAUGGCGAAGGCAGCUCGCUGGGACGGUACUGACGCUGAGACGCGAAAGCGUGGGGAGCAAACAGG